AGCAGUGUGGUUUAGUCACUAGAACACAGGCCUGGGAGUCAGAAGGACCUGGGUUCUAAUUCCAGCUCUGCUG
This 73-nucleotide transfer RNA is filed under the name Ornithorhynchus anatinus (platypus). It matches the Rfam family "tRNA". Rfam says of the family: Transfer RNA (tRNA) molecules are approximately 80 nucleotides in length. Their secondary structure includes four short double-helical elements and three loops (D, anti-codon, and T loops). Lineage: Eukaryota; Metazoa; Chordata; Mammalia; Monotremata; Ornithorhynchidae. The record is from Rfam by way of RNAcentral.